GAUGAACGCUGACAGAAUGCUUAACACAUGCAAGUCAACUGUGGCGGACGGGUGAGUAACGCGUAAAGAACUUGCCUCUCAGCUAGGGACAACAUUUGGAAACGAAUGCUAAUACCUGAUACUGUGAGAGAGCUUUGCGUCCCAUUAGCUCGUUGGAGAGGUACCGGCUCACCAAGGCGAUGAUGGGUAGCCGGCCUGUGAGGGUGAUCGGGCACAAGGGGACUGGGGCACGGCCCGUAGGCAUACGGGAGGCAGGAGUGGGGAAUAGAUGAAAAUGGACCAAAGUCUGAUCAAGCAAUUCGGUGUGCAAAAUGAAGUUGUCGGAAGGAAAAGUGCUUUCAGUAGGGAAGCGGUACCAACAGAAGAAGCAACGGCUAAAUACGUGUCAGCAGCCGCGGUAAUAC
Molecule: ribosomal RNA, 404 nt
Filed under: uncultured bacterium
Lineage: Bacteria
Description: partial 16S ribosomal RNA
Rfam family: Bacterial small subunit ribosomal RNA
Source: RNAcentral